Molecule: ribosomal RNA, 356 nt
Filed under: uncultured Pseudomonas sp.
Lineage: Bacteria; Pseudomonadati; Pseudomonadota; Gammaproteobacteria; Pseudomonadales; Pseudomonadaceae
Description: bacterial SSU rRNA
Rfam family: Bacterial small subunit ribosomal RNA
Source: RNAcentral
UCUGACACAGGUGCUGCAUGGCUGUCGUCAGCUCGUGUCGUGAGAUGUUGGGUUAAGUCCGUAACGAGCGCAACCCUUGUCCUUAGUUACCAGCACGUUAUGGUGGGCGACUCUAAGGAGACUGCCGGUGACAAACCGGAGGAAGGUGGGGAGUGACGUCAAGUCAUCAUGGCCCUUACGGCCUGGGCUACACACGUGCUACAAUGGUCGGUACAAAGGGUUGCCAAGCCGCGAGGUGGAGCUAAUCCCAUAAAACCGAUCGUAGUCCGGAUCGCAGUCUGCAACUCGACUGCGUGAAGUCGGAAUCGCUAGUAAUCGUGAAUCAGAAUGUCACGGUGAAUACGUUCCCGGGCCUU